RNAcentral lists this small nuclear RNA (296 nucleotides) under Colius striatus (speckled mousebird). RNAcentral's name for it is "7SK RNA". It matches the Rfam family "7SK RNA". From Rfam's summary of the family: 7SK was discovered as an abundant small nuclear RNA in the mid-70s but a possible function has only recently been suggested. Lineage: Eukaryota; Metazoa; Chordata; Aves; Coliiformes; Coliidae. The record is from Rfam by way of RNAcentral.
GGAUGUGAGGGCAAUCUGGCUGCUACAUCUGUCACUUCAUUGAUCACCAGGGUUGAUUUGACUGAUCUGGCUGGCUAGGCGGGUGUCCCCUUCCUCCCUCACCAGUCCAUGUGUGACCCUCCCAAAGCUGUGAGCUCAGUUGAAGAGGACAACAUUCUCUGAUAGAGACAUACUGUUCAUCGGUCAAGAGUGUACGGUAGCUGUGCUCCCCUGCUAGAACCUCCAAACAAUAUCAACACCUUCCUAUUCCUAAUCUGGUGUAAAUCUGCCAUAAAUAGUCUGGCUGGCCAUUUCUA